UACGUAGGGAGCAAGCGUUGUCCGGAAUCAUUGGGCGUAAAGCGCGCGUAGGUGGCCUCAUAAGUCCGCUGUGAAAGUCAAAGGCUCAACCUUUGAAAGCCGGUGGAUACUGUGAGGCUAGAGUACGGAAGAGGCGAGUGGAAUUCCCGGUGUAGCGGUGGAAUGCGCAGAUAUCAGGAGGAACACCAAUAGCGAAGGCAGCUCGCUGGGACGUUACUGACACUGAGGCGCGAAAGCGUGGGGAGCGAACAGG
This 253-nucleotide ribosomal RNA is filed under the name uncultured bacterium. Its description in RNAcentral is "partial 16S ribosomal RNA". It matches the Rfam family "Bacterial small subunit ribosomal RNA", at positions 524 to 776 of the family's 1533-position model. The record is from RNAcentral.